GUUUUUGUUCCAGUUUUUGCUGAUUGAGAAGCUCAUGAGAUACAUCUCAUUUCCCUGGAGGUCCUCGGGGAAGCAGUGGUCAGACAAUCCUUUCCUAGCCUGCUUUGGGCAACGCUGGUGGUACAGCACUGCUGGCACUGCAUGUGGGCUGCUGCGCUGGCACUGGGCUCCAUGGGCAGAGCGUGAUUCAGCCUUCAGUGUUACAGCAGUCAUUAUUGCAAAGGAGCAGUUUGGGACCAAACAGUGAUGGUCACAGAUACUGAACGUAAGUCACAAAGCAAGCUCCACAGCUGAGUUUGGAUUUAAAUACACAACUGCAUAAAAGGUUUAUGAGAAAGCACAGAUUUUGUAUAGUCACAUUUAGUUCCUCUUCUGUUUCCUGAUGAAUGAUGGCCAUGCAUUCCAGGAAAGAGGUGGCCACAUAUACCAAGCUUAGUUUCCUCCUGGUGAAACCCUCAUGAGCACUCAGUCAUUCCCAGAGAUGACAGAGUCUUUCCCUUCAUCUAAUAUCAGUCCUGCUUUAUUCCUUAGCACUACUGUGAUGCACAUAUGCAUUUCAGUGUCAUUUGCAGAGCUCAUCUGCCGUUGGUGAAAGGGAAGGAAGAGGAAGAGUAGAGUGGCACCAUUCCUGGAAGAGCAGCAGCAGAUGGAAAAUUUCUGUGAAUUCAAGGCUGUUUUCAGGCAGCCUAAACUCUACCUGUGUUCUCAUGCCUAAUGUUAUCCAGAACAUAUUCUGGACCUUCAGGGUUGCCAAACCAAUAAGAAACCAAAGCUGAACUAGGUGAAUUAGAUGGAAUACAGCUGUUGCAGGACACGUGAGUUGUGUCCUUUGUAAUCACGGAACUUACUAGCAAAGCUAUGUGAAUAAUGGACUAUUUUUGUUUUCUGACAAUUCUAAAAACAUUCAGCAAAAAUAUUUGUAAAGGUUGUUUGAGUGUAUCCAAAACAAACUGUCUUUAGGAAGCGUGUGAACUGAAAAGCUGUCUGCCUUGCUUCUUCGGUCGCAUGAGAAGUUUUACCUCCUUUUUUUUGCAUGUAAUUGUUUGUCUUAAUUUAAUAUUUCUUUAAAUUUUAAGUAAAAACCUCAUAGAAUUUGAAGUAACUUUAAAGUGGUUAAUGAAAAAAUACAUAUGUA
RNAcentral lists this long non-coding RNA (1135 nucleotides) under Chrysolophus pictus (golden pheasant). Its description in RNAcentral is "lncRNA (ENSCPIG00010011811.1)". The record is from RNAcentral. Lineage: Eukaryota; Metazoa; Chordata; Aves; Galliformes; Phasianidae.